AACGCACAUUGCGCCCCCUGGUAUUCCGGGGGGCAUGCCUGUCCGAGCGUCAUUACAACCCUCAAGCCUAGCUUGGUGUUGGGCUCCGCCGCCUGGCGGGCCCUAAAGUCAGUGGCGGUGCCGUCCAGCUCCGAGCGUAGUAACUCUUCUCGCUCUGGAGGCCUGGGCGCGUGCUUGCCAGCAACCCCCCAAUUUUAUCAGGUUGACCUCGGAUCAGGUAGGGAUACCCGCUGAACUUAA
RNAcentral lists this unclassified non-coding RNA (240 nucleotides) under uncultured Ascomycota. Its description in RNAcentral is "sequence contains ITS2". The stretch from base 1 to 52 matches the Rfam family "5.8S ribosomal RNA", at positions 103 to 154 of the family's 154-position model. The record is from RNAcentral. Lineage: Eukaryota; Fungi; Ascomycota. RNAcentral also lists the same sequence under 1 other name.